Molecule: ribosomal RNA, 440 nt
Filed under: uncultured bacterium
Lineage: Bacteria
Description: partial 16S ribosomal RNA
Rfam family: Bacterial small subunit ribosomal RNA
Source: RNAcentral
CUACGGGGUGCUCCAGUGAGGAAUAUUGCACAAUGGGGGGAACCCUGAUGCAGCAACGCCGCGUGGAGGAUGACGCAUUUCGGUGUGUAAACUCCUUUUAUAUGUCAAGAAAAUGACGGUAGCAUAUGAAUAAGCACCGGCUAACUCCGUGGCCAGCAGCCGCGGUAAUACGGAGGGUGCAAGCGUUACUCGGAAUCACUGGGCGUAAAGGACGCGUAGGCGGGUUGGAAAGUCAGGUGUGAAAUCCUACAGCUUAACUGUAGAACUGCACUUGAAACUUCUAAUCUAGAGUAUGGGAGGGGGAGAUGGAAUUAGUGGUGUAGGGGUAAAAUCCGUAGAUAUCACUAGGAAUACCUAAAGCGAAGGCGAUCUCCUGGAACAUUACUGACGCUAAGGCGUGAAAGCGUGGGGAGCAAACAGGAUUAGAUACCCUUGUAGUC